AUUGACUAGGAAGAAUAUAGAAGUUAUGGAAGAUUAGGAGAGAUAAGAUUGAGGGGACAGGUUGAGAUUGACUAGGAAGAAUAUAGGAAGUUAUGGAAGGGCAUUGUGGAAGAUUAGGGGAGAUAAGAUUGAGGGGACAGGAUGAGAUUGACUAGGAAGAAUAUAGGAAGUUAUGGAAGGGCAUUGUGGAAGAUUAGGAGAGAUAAGAUUGAGGGGACAGGAUGAGAUUGACUAGAAAGAAUAUAGGAAGUUAUGGAAGAUUAGGAGAGCUAAGAUUGAGGGGACAGGAUGAAUUUAGGAAGUUAUGGAAGGGCAUUGUGGAAGAUUAGGGGAGAUAAGCUUCAGGAGGACAAUAUAGGGAUUGGGUAAGGGAACAAACUGAAUGACCACAUAAAGGUGAGGAAACAGGAAAUUGACUGACUAAAUAAAAGGUAGAAAGAUUAAGGGACAGGGAAGAAAUGAUUGGUCAGAGGAAAAAAUGGAGUGACUGGAUAAAAUAUAGUUUGGUUUAAGGUGGCAGAAAGUGAUUAGUGAGUGAGUGCUUAGGUCUAGGAAAUGAAGAUAGACCUACUGUUUUAGUUAAUGAUUGUGGGGUGAAGGCUGGUAAUGUAUUGAGUGCUUAGGUCUAGGAAAUUAAGAUAUAGGCCUGUUUUAGUUAAUGAUAGUGGGGUGAAGGCUGGUAAUGUAUUGAGUGCUUAGGCCUAGGAAAUUAAGAUAUAGGCCUGUUUUAGUUAAUGAUAGUAGAGUGAAGGCUGGUAAUAUAUUCAGUGGUAAGUGAGUGAGUGCUUAGGUCUAGGAAAUUAAGAUAUAGGCCUGUUUUAGUUAAUGAUAGUAGAGUGAAGGCUGGUAAUAUAUUGAGUGGUAAGUGAGUGAGUGCUUAGGUCUAGGAAAUUAAAGAUAUAGGCCUGUUUUAGUUAAUGAUAGAGUGAAGGCUGGUA
This is a long non-coding RNA of Eriocheir sinensis (Chinese mitten crab), 938 nucleotides long. RefSeq lists it as uncharacterized. Lineage: Eukaryota; Metazoa; Arthropoda; Malacostraca; Decapoda; Varunidae. The record is from RefSeq and is a predicted model, not a curated record. The transcript is spliced from 3 exons.